Molecule: ribosomal RNA, 274 nt
Filed under: uncultured bacterium
Lineage: Bacteria
Description: partial 16S ribosomal RNA
Rfam family: Bacterial small subunit ribosomal RNA
Source: RNAcentral
AUACGGAGGGUGCGAGCGUUAUCCGGAUUUAUUAGGUUUAAAGGGUGUGUAGGCGGGAGCCUAAGUCAGUGGUGAAAUCUCACAGCUUAACUGUGAAACUGCCAUUGAAACUGGGUUUCUUGAGUAUAGUUGAGGUAGGCGGAAUGUGUAAUGUAGCGGUGAAAUGCAUAGAUAUUACACAGAACACCGAUUGCGAAGGCAGCUUACUAAGCUAUUACUGACGCUGCUGCACGAAAGCGUGGGUAGCGAACAGGAUUAGAAACCCCGGUAGUCC